Molecule: ribosomal RNA, 429 nt
Filed under: Chloroflexota bacterium
Lineage: Bacteria; Bacillati; Chloroflexota
Description: Chloroflexi bacterium partial 16S ribosomal RNA
Rfam family: Bacterial small subunit ribosomal RNA
Source: RNAcentral
UGGGGAAUAUUGCACAAUGGGCGCAAGCCUGAUGCAGCCAUGCCGCGUGUAUGAAGAAGGCCUUCGGGUUGUAAAGUACUUUCAGCGGGGAGGAAGGGAGUAAAGUUAAUACCUUUGCUCAUUGACGUUACCCGCAGAAGAAGCACCGGCUAACUCCGUGCCAGCAGCCGCGGUAAUACGGAGGGUGCAAGCGUUAAUCGGAAUUACUGGGCGUAAAGCGCACGCAGGCGGUUUGUUAAGUCAGAUGUGAAAUCCCCGGGCUGAAACUGGGAAGUGAAUCUGAUACUGGCAAGCUGGAGUCUCGUAGAGGGGGGUAGAAUUCCAGGUGUAGCGGUGAAAUGCGUAGAGAUCGGGAGGAAUACAGGUGGCGAAGGCGGCCCCCUGGACGAAGACUGACGCUCAGGUGCGAAAGCGUGGGGAGCAAACAGG